AUUGAACGCUGGCGGCAGGCCUAACACAUGCAAGUCGAGCGAGCGGCGGACGGGUGAGUAAUGUCUGGGAAACUGCCUGAUGGAGGGGGAUAACUACUGGAAACGGUAGCUAAUACCGCAUACCAUCAGAUGUGCCCAGAUGGGAUUAGCUAGUAGGUGGGGUAAUGGCUCACCUAGGCGACGAUCCCUAGCUGGUCUGAGAGGAUGACCAGCCACACUGGGACUGAGCCACGGCCCAGACUCCUACGGGAGGCAGCAGUAGGGAAUCUUCGGCAAUGGACGAAAGUCUGACCGAGCAACGCCGCGUGAGUGAAGAAGGCCUUCGGGUUGUAAAGUACUUUCAGUCGGGAGGCGUUACCGACAGAAGAAGCACCGGCUAACUCCGUGCCAGCCGCCGCGGUAAUAC
RNAcentral lists this ribosomal RNA (406 nucleotides) under uncultured bacterium. RNAcentral describes it as "partial 16S ribosomal RNA". It matches the Rfam family "Bacterial small subunit ribosomal RNA", at positions 30 to 526 of the family's 1533-position model. The record is from RNAcentral.